CCCUUAGAUGUUCUGGGCGGCCCGCGCACUACAAUGGCGUGUGCAGCGAGUGCCGAAGUAGAGUUUUCCGAGGUAUUCUUGCAAUGCUCGUUUUGAUGGGGAUAGACCCUUGCAACUGUUGGUUUUGAACGAGGAAUUCCUUGUAAGCAUGGUUUAUCAUCCGACGCUGAAUGCGUCCCUGCCCUUUGUACACACCGCCCGUCGCUCCUACCGAUGAGUCGUCCGGUGAAGUUCGUAGCCCUCGUGAUCGCGGAUCACUGGGGGAAGCAAAAUGAACCUCGCGGUUUAGAGGAAGGAGAAGUCGUAACA
Molecule: ribosomal RNA, 309 nt
Filed under: uncultured eukaryote
Lineage: Eukaryota
Description: partial 18S ribosomal RNA
Rfam family: Eukaryotic small subunit ribosomal RNA
Source: RNAcentral